RNAcentral lists this small RNA (28 nucleotides) under Bombyx mori (domestic silkworm). RNAcentral's name for it is "ovarian small RNA-22224". Lineage: Eukaryota; Metazoa; Arthropoda; Insecta; Lepidoptera; Bombycidae. The record is from RNAcentral.
UAGCAAUACGCUAUGGAUGCUUGGGCUA